RNAcentral lists this transfer RNA (88 nucleotides) under Candidatus Eiseniibacteriota bacterium. RNAcentral describes it as "tRNA-Leu". It matches the Rfam family "tRNA". From Rfam's summary of the family: Transfer RNA (tRNA) molecules are approximately 80 nucleotides in length. Their secondary structure includes four short double-helical elements and three loops (D, anti-codon, and T loops). Lineage: Bacteria; Candidatus Eiseniibacteriota. The record is from RNAcentral.
GCCGAAGUGGUGGAACUGGUAGACGCGCUGCGUUCAGGGCGCAGUGGGGUUCACCCCCGUGGGGGUUCGACUCCCCCCUUCGGCACCA